GGACUACACGGGUUUCUAAUCCUGUUUGCUCCCCACGCUUUCGUGCAUGAGCGUCAGUAUUGGCCCAGGGGGCUGCCUUCGCCAUCGGUAUUCCUCCACAUCUCUACGCAUUUCACUGCUACACGUGGAAUUCUACCCCCCUCUGCCAUACUCCAGUCCGCCAGUCACAAAUGCAGUUCCCAGGUUAAGCCCGGGGAUUUCACAUCUGUCUUAACGAACCGCCUGCGCACGCUUUACGCCCAGUAAUUCCGAUUAACGCUUGCACCCUACGUAUUACCGCGGCGGCUGGCAC
RNAcentral lists this ribosomal RNA (292 nucleotides) under uncultured bacterium. Its description in RNAcentral is "partial 16S ribosomal RNA". The record is from RNAcentral. RNAcentral also lists the same sequence under 1 other name.